UGGGGAAUAUUGCACAAUGGGGGAAACCCUGAUGCAGCGACGCCGCGUGAGCGAAGAAGGCCUUCGGGUCGUAAAGCUCUUUUAUGAGGGAAGAUAAUGACGGUACCUCAAGAAAAAGCCCCGGCUAACUACGUGCCAGCAGCCGCGGUAAUACGUAGGGGGCUAGCGUUGUCCGGAAUCACUGGGCGUAAAGGGUUCGCAGGCGGAAUAACAAGUCAGAUGUGAAAGGCAUGGGCUCAACCCAUGUAAGCAUUUGAAACUGUAAUUCUUGCGAAGUGGAGAGGUAAGUGGAAUUCCUAGUGUAGCGGUGACAUGCGUAGAUAUUAGGAGGAAUACCUGUGGCGAAGUCGACUUACUGGACACAAAUCUGACGCUGAGGAACGAAAGCGUGGGUAGCAAACAGG
RNAcentral lists this ribosomal RNA (404 nucleotides) under Verrucomicrobiota bacterium. RNAcentral describes it as "Verrucomicrobia bacterium partial 16S ribosomal RNA". It matches the Rfam family "Bacterial small subunit ribosomal RNA", at positions 355 to 776 of the family's 1533-position model. The record is from RNAcentral. Lineage: Bacteria; Pseudomonadati; Verrucomicrobiota.